RNAcentral lists this ribosomal RNA (433 nucleotides) under uncultured bacterium. RNAcentral describes it as "partial 16S ribosomal RNA". It matches the Rfam family "Bacterial small subunit ribosomal RNA", at positions 29 to 507 of the family's 1533-position model. The record is from RNAcentral.
AACGAACGCUGGCGGCAUGCCUAACACAUGCAAGUCGAACGAUACCUUCGGGUCUAGUGGCGCACGGGUGCGUAACGCGUGGGAACCUGCCCUUAGGUUCGGAAUAACUCCCCGAAAGGGGUGCUAAUACCGGAUAAUUUCUUCGUACCAAAGAUUUAUCGCCUUUGGAUGGGCCCGCGUUGGAUUAGCUAGUUGGUAGGGUAAAAGCCUACCAAGGCGACGAUCCAUAGCUGGUCUGAGAGGAUGAUCAGCCACACUGGGACUGAGACACGGCCCAGACUCCUACGGGAGGCAGCAGUGGGGAAUAUUGGACAAUGGGCGAAAGCCUGAUCCAGCAAUGCCGCGUGAGUGAUGAAGGCAUUAGGGUUGUAAAGCUCUUUUAACCGGGAUGAUAAUGACAGUACCGGGAGAAUAAGCUCCGGCUAACUCCGUG